Long non-coding RNA from Peromyscus eremicus (cactus mouse), 496 nucleotides. RefSeq lists it as uncharacterized. The transcript is spliced from 2 exons. Lineage: Eukaryota; Metazoa; Chordata; Mammalia; Rodentia; Cricetidae. The record is from RefSeq and is a predicted model, not a curated record.
GCAUCCCAGGCACCAGGGCCCUUGUUCCAUGAAAUGAGUCUUCCUGCAGUGCCUUUCAUCUCAGUAAACAGCUCCGUUCCUUCUGGAUGAGUCACCUAAGGGUCACCUUUGCAUCCGAGGCUCACUGGUCCUCAGUCUCACUUAGGGCCAACUUCUGCUUCCAAAGCAGAUUUCCAAACAGAUUGGAAAUGCCUGUCUCUGCCUCUGAACGUCUGCAGUCGGAAUAUUGCAAGGUCCAUCACCCUCUGAAUGAUCUAGACUCUUCAGCUCUGUGUUUGCUUUACCUUCUGAAGUUAAGAAGUGCUGUUCAACACGAUCAUGUUUCUAGACCCUGCUUCUUCUUAACAAAUGAAGGAACAAUCUGUUUUGGCCACUGAUUAAGAAACCUUGGCUUUGCUUGAGGAUGUCCAAGAGGUAAUUAAAUCACCUGGACUUUUGCAACUCCUAAAAGGAAUGAGACAUUGGUGCAGAAUAAAGUCCCCAUGUUUGGAACAAA